Molecule: ribosomal RNA, 468 nt
Filed under: uncultured bacterium
Lineage: Bacteria
Description: partial 16S ribosomal RNA
Rfam family: Bacterial small subunit ribosomal RNA (bases 49-468)
Source: RNAcentral
GGGGGGGGGGGGGGGGGGGGGUGGGAGGGGGAGGUCGGGGGGGGGGGCGCGGCUUUGGGGGGGUGCGCGGGUGGCGGACGGGUGGGUAACGCGUGGGUAACCUUCCCUUGACUUUGGGAUAACUUCAGGCAACUGGGGCUAAUACCGGAGAGGAGCUCCUGCUUCAUGGUGGGGGUUGGUAAGUUUCGGCGGGUGGGGAUGGACGCGCGGUUUAUCCGCUGUUGGGUGGGGAAGUGGCUUACCAAGGCUUUGACGGGUAGCCGGCCUGAGGGGGUGGACGGCCACAUUGGGACUGAGAUGCGGCCCAGACUCCUACGGGAGGCAGCAGUGGGGAAUAUUGCCCAAUGGGCUGAAGCCUGAGGCAGCAACGCCGCGUGCGGGAUGACGGCCUUCGGGUUGUAAACCGCUUUCGCCUUUGACGAAGCGUGAGUGACGGUAAUGGGUAAAGAAGCACCGGCUAACUACGUG